AACUUUCAGCAACGGAUCUCUUGGCUCUCGCAUCGAUGAAGAACGCAGCAAAAUGUGAUAAGUAAUGUGAAUUGCAGAAUUCAGUGAAUCAUCGAAUCUUUGAACGCACCUUGCGCUCCUUGGUAUUCUGAGGAGCAUGCCUGUUUGAGUGU
This 152-nucleotide ribosomal RNA is filed under the name Taiwanofungus camphoratus. RNAcentral's name for it is "5.8S ribosomal RNA". It matches the Rfam family "5.8S ribosomal RNA". From Rfam's summary of the family: 5.8S ribosomal RNA (5.8S rRNA) is a component of the large subunit of the eukaryotic ribosome. It is transcribed by RNA polymerase I as part of the 45S precursor that also contains 18S and 28S rRNA. The record is from RNAcentral. Lineage: Eukaryota; Fungi; Basidiomycota; Agaricomycetes; Polyporales; Taiwanofungaceae.